AAAAUGCGAUACUUGGUGUGAAUUGCAGAAUCCCGUGAACCAUCGAGUUUUUGAACGCAAGUUGCGCCCGAAGCCAUCCGGUUGAGGGCACGCCUGCCUGGGCGUCACGCAUCGUGUUGCCCCCCAUCAUACUUCCCUUAAGGGUAGUCGUGGUGAUUGGGAGCGGAGAUUGGCCUCCCGUGCUUGUUGUGCGGUUGGUCAAAAUAGGAGUCUCCUUCGGUGGACACACAGCUAGUGGUGGUUGUAAAGACCUUUUUCUUCUGCUGUGUGUUGUGAGCUGUAUGGGAAAACCUCAAAAAAGACCCCAAUGUAUCGUUCUAGGAUGAUGCUUCGACUGCGACCCCAGGUCAGGCGGGACUACCCGCUGAGUUUAA
Molecule: unclassified non-coding RNA, 374 nt
Filed under: uncultured fungus
Lineage: Eukaryota; Fungi
Description: sequence contains ITS1
Rfam family: 5.8S ribosomal RNA (bases 1-107)
Source: RNAcentral